This 253-nucleotide ribosomal RNA is filed under the name uncultured bacterium. RNAcentral describes it as "partial 16S ribosomal RNA". It matches the Rfam family "Bacterial small subunit ribosomal RNA", at positions 524 to 776 of the family's 1533-position model. The record is from RNAcentral.
UACGUAGGGGGCAAGCGUUGUCCGGAAUUAUUGGACGUAAAGAGCGUGUAGGCGGCCAGAUAAGUCCGCUGUGAAAUCUCGAGGCUCAACUUCGAGCUGUCGGUGGAAACUGUCUGGCUAGAGUCCGGAAGAGGAGAAUGGAAUUCCUGGUGUAGCGGUGAAAUGCGCAGAUAUCAGGAAGAACACCCGUGGCGAAGGCGGUUCUCUGGGACGGUACUGACGCUGAGACGCGAAAGCGUGGGGAGCGAACAGG